UGGAUUAGUGUUGCUUCUUUGAUUGGUCU
RNAcentral lists this non-coding RNA (29 nucleotides) under Mus musculus (house mouse). The record is from RNAcentral. Lineage: Eukaryota; Metazoa; Chordata; Mammalia; Rodentia; Muridae.